UUCCGGUUGAUCCUGCCGGACCUGACUGCUAUCGGAUUGAUACUAAGCCAUGCGAGUCUUUGUAGUAAUACAAGGCAGACGGCUCAGUAACACGUAGUCAACCUACCCUAUGGACGAGAAUAAUCUCGGGAAACUGAGCAUAAUUCUUGAUAGAUCAUAAUGCCUGGAAUGGUUUAUGGUUAAAAUGAUUCGUCGCCAUAGGAUGGGACUGCGGCCUAUCAGCUUGUUGGUGAGGUAAUGGCCCACCAAGGCGAUUACAGGUACGGGCUCUGAGAGGAGAAGCCCGGAGAUGGGUACUGAGACACGGACCCAGGCCCUAUGGGGCGCAGCAGGCGAGAAAACUUUGCAAUGUGCGAAAGCACGACAAGGUUAAUCCGAGUGAUUUCUGCUAAAGAAAUCUUUUGUCAGUCAUAAAACCACUGGCGAAUAAGGGGUGGGCAAGUUCUGGUGUCAGCCGCCGCGGUAAAACCAGCACCUCAAGUGGUCAGGAUGAUUAUUGGGCCUAAAGCAUCCGUAGCCGGCUUUGUAAGUUUUCGGUUAAAUCCAUGUGCUCAACGCAUGGGCUGCCGAAAAUACUGCAUGGCUAGGGAGUGGGAGAGGUAGACGGUACUCAGUAGGAAGGGGUAAAAUCCUUUGAUCUAUUGAUGACCACCUGUGGCGAAGGCGGUCUACCAGAACACGUUCGACGGUGAGGGAUGAAAGCUGGGGGAGCAAACCGGAUUAGAUACCCGGGUAGUCCCAGCUGUAAACGAUGCAGACUCGAUGAUGCAUUGGCAUAAUAGCCAGUGCAGUGUCGCAGGGAAGCCGUUAAGUCUGCCGCCUGGGAAGUACGUACGCAAGUAUGAAACUUAAAGGAAUUGGCGGGGGAGCACCACAAGGGGUGAAGCCUGCGGUUCAAUUGGAUUCAACGCCGG
Molecule: ribosomal RNA, 914 nt
Filed under: uncultured marine archaeon
Lineage: Archaea
Description: bacterial SSU rRNA
Rfam family: Archaeal small subunit ribosomal RNA
Source: RNAcentral